GAUGAAGAACGCAGCGAAAUGCGAUAAGUAAUGCGAAUUGCAGAAUUCCAGUGAGUCAUCGAAUCUUUGAACGCACAUUGCGCCCCCUGGUAUUCCGGGGGGCAUGCCUGUUCGAGCGUCAUUUCACCACUCAAGCCUCGCUUGGUAUUGGGCAACGCGGUCCGCCGCGUGCCUCAAAUCGUCCGGCUGGGUCUUCUGUCCCCUAAGCGUUGUGGAAACUAUUCGCUAAAGGGUGUUCGGGAGGCUACGCCGUAAAACAACCCCAUUUCUAAGGUUGACCUCGGAUCAGGUAGGGAUACCCGCUGAACUUAAGCAUAUCAAUAAGCGGAGGA
This 332-nucleotide unclassified non-coding RNA is filed under the name soil metagenome. Its description in RNAcentral is "partial contains 5.8S ribosomal RNA, internal transcribed spacer 2, and large subunit ribosomal RNA". The stretch from base 1 to 121 matches the Rfam family "5.8S ribosomal RNA", at positions 35 to 154 of the family's 154-position model. The record is from RNAcentral.